GCAGAGGAUUAGGGCCAGUUCGGGUCGCUAGUGUAGGGAAUUACUUGGUGGGGGUUUUAUUCUUGUCAUGAUUCCGUGUUCCAUGUUGUAUUACGAAUCUGUGUGCUUUCCCCUGCUUUCCUCUGUUUUUUUUUCCUGCUUUCCUGCUUUACUCUGUUUUAUAUUCCUUAUGGGUGUCGUAUCUAUGUUAUGUCAUCUGCUUCUGUGCUGUACUAUGUGUUUGUGUGAUAUCUCGUGACUUGAGCCGGGGGUCUUUCGGAAACAGCCUUUCUACUUCAUCAGAGGUAGAGGUAUGGACUGCGUACAUCUUACCCCCCCAGACCCCACUAAGUGGGAAUACACUGGGUUUGUUGUUGUUGUUGUUGUUGGA
This 370-nucleotide long non-coding RNA is filed under the name Capsicum annuum. RNAcentral's name for it is "long non-coding RNA (CANN_LNC021047)". The record is from RNAcentral. Lineage: Eukaryota; Viridiplantae; Streptophyta; Magnoliopsida; Solanales; Solanaceae.